Molecule: long non-coding RNA, 2949 nt
Organism: Piliocolobus tephrosceles (Ugandan red Colobus)
Lineage: Eukaryota; Metazoa; Chordata; Mammalia; Primates; Cercopithecidae
Exons: 3
Source: RefSeq, a predicted model, not a curated record
UGCCACCAUAUGUGGAUAAUUUGUAAUAUUUUGUAGAGAUAAGGUCUUGCUAUGUUCCUCAGGCUGGUCUAGAACUUGUGGGCUCAAGUAAUCCUCCCAUAGUGGACUCUCAAAGGGCUGAGAUCACAGGUAUGAGAUACCAUGUCUGGCCCGAAAAAUACCAUUUCUUGACGGUAUGUCACAUUUUCUCAAGUAAAUCACCUUAACUGCACUGAAAAGCCCAAUGAUUCUAAAAUUUAGCUUGAGGAAUAAUCAUUAACUCGUUUAUUCAUUUAACCAACAAUUCCCUGAGGGCCUACGAAGUACCAGGAACUGUGCUAUAUAUUAGAGACACAAUAGUGAUUCAGUGCUGUGAAGGACAAGUAUCCAUAAAAGUGGAUAUUUGGCUUUGGAGAAUAUAAGGUUUUAUAUAAAGUAGAAAAAAUAUAUCACACUCAAUUUCUAAUAAUACUCAGGCAAGUCAUACAAUCUCAGUACUUUCCUCCUUUCAACUCAACUUUCAUUUAUUUGGUGGUAUUAAAAUACAUAUGGAAGAGACUUUUACUUCUUUUACAAAGAAUUAAACAAGGACAACUGCCUUCCCUCUGUAAACAACUAUAAAACUAGACAAAACAUAAAAUAAUUGUUUUCAGACACUGGACAAUAAGCAACAUAGGACUCUGAUCCUGGAAAAUGGGGAAAAAAUGAAGUGUGUACUAUAAUUGCCUGAGAUUAUGGCCUGGAAAGAGUUUUCAGGUUACAACAUAGCUUGGUAGUCUGAGUCGAGGAGACAGAGAUUAGGGAGUUUGCAGUCUAGAAUUUUAGGGCAGAGUACCAGAGACAAAGGAAAUGUACAGAGAGAGCUUCACAGAUUUGCAAAGACUCUAUAUUACCCAGGUUUUUGGCUGAGUAAUGAUUUGUACACGCGUGGGGCAAAACUACAAGGCUGAAGAAGAGAGUACCGCUGGAAAGCAGUAGAGUCCACACAGUGGUAAGGAAACAUGGCUCACAACUAGGCGAAAAAUCCAUCAACAGAAAUAUACUCAGAAAUGGCAGAUGAAGGAUUUAGGGAACGAAUUUAAAUCAGCUAUUACAACUAUACUCCAUAAAACUAUUUAUCAAUAAAAAGAAUAUGGAUUAGAUAGGAAGAAGCAGAAGUGUCUUAAUUUGCCAAUUACAUGAUCAUUUACACAAAAAUUCUAAGGAAUCUAAAAAAAGCUACUAUGAGUUUAGUAAGGUUAGUGAGUUGAGUAAGGUCACAUAAUACAAGGUCAAUAUAUAAAAAUCAAUUGUAUUUCUACAUGCUAGCAAUGAACAUUUGGAAAUUAAAAUUUAAAAAAGAACUAUUUACAAUAGUAUCAAAAAUACAAAAUAUUUAGGAAUAAACUGAAGUAUCAAUCCUAUGCAUUGAAAACUACAAAACAUUGUUGAAGUAAAUCAAACAAGAUCUAAGUAAAUGGAAUUCCACAUCUGUUGGCUGGAAGUUUCAAUACUGUAAACAUGUCAAUUCUCCCCAAAUUGAUCAACAGACUCAACACAAUCCUAAUAGGUACUAUGCUUUACAACAGAUCUCUAGAAAUUUUUCAUCUUGCAGAACAGAAAUUUUAUACUCAUUAACAAUUUUCCAUUUUUCCCUCCCUACAGCCCCAGCAAUCACCAUUUUAUUCUCUGCUUCUGGGAGUUUGACUAUUUUAGAUACCUCACACUCCUGUUGGGACUGUUUAGCACAAUUGUGACCCAAUGCUUGAGAUUUCAGACCUGAUGAUCUUGGUCUCUCUUCCGUGGGUCAGAAUUGGGGAACUUCAUCUAUGGUAGUAAAUGUUGGUACGAUUUCUUCUAGAACGACUACAGAAGAAAUUCAGCCUAUGUGACCUAAAAUACAGUUGAAUGAGUACUUACUGCCUUUCUGUUCUUACUUUUCAUGAAGAAGACAGGUAUUCUAGUGCCCUGUAGAGAAGGAAUUUCUGAAACGUGAAGGACUGUGUUUUACCCUCAAAGAGGCACUUCUGCACCUUCUUUAUCCUUAUUAGUUGUUCCUAAAACCUAAGAUACAGGUAUGGCAACUAUAAUCACUGUGAGAAUGCAUGUACAUAUAUAACCCGGGAAUCAAGCAAAACAAAACACCAAUUGUCCUCUCUGAAGAUCAGUACCCUUGAAAAGUUCCCACAAUUCAAGUUUAUACUUUCAGUUAUUUUCCUGAGGGACAUGAAAAUAACUGGAACAAAACAAAAUAACAGUUUGAAUUGUAUGAACUGUAUAAAGGAAUUCAGCACAAAGCCUGGAAGCAGAAUGCUUAUGAUCUGGUAUGAUUCACACCCCCUCUUUUCUACUUAUAGAAUGGCAGAGAUCAUAAAGCAAAACCACUGUAAAUUUAACUCGGAAUAUAAAGAGCAAUGUCAAAUGUCCCAAGUCUAUAGUUUAAGUGAUUAUAGAAAGAAAUAAUAGGCUUUACAAGUCACUGAAUAAACAACCUGGUUUAAAACAUUUUCAGAUUUGUUAAAAUUUAAAGGAAACUAGUCCUAUGUAUGGAUUUAAUAUUCAUAUUAACUUUUCCAAUAUCACUGGAGUAUCUCAAAACACUUUCAACAAUAAAGAUGAGAUUAACUUAUUUCCAAACAUAUGAAUAGAAUUUUUAAAAACCCUUUGAUGUAUCACUAGUACAAACAACAUGCAAUUACACUACACUUUAAUUUGAGACACACAGAAUGAAUAUGCUACCAAAGCAGCACGACAUACAGCACCAUGCUAAUAGUAGAUGACAAGCAAACCUGAAAAUUAGGGAUGACAGGUGUGAUGUUUUUGCAUAGAAGCAAUAGCUGACCCAGAAGGGCAGGCAUGGGUGGCCUUAGAGGGAAGCAGAUUGGGAUGUUAAUAAAAAUUGUAGGGGUAAGGAAGAGAAGGACAGGAGAAUUAAGCUACAAAGAUGUGAAAUACCUCCAUUUUGCCUAUGUGUUAUCCACGCAUCCAACC